AUUGAACGCUGGCGGCAUGCCUUACACAUGCAAAUCGAACGGUAACGGGCCUUCGGGUGCCGACGAGUGGCGAACGGGUGAGUAAUACAUCGGAACGUGCCCGAUCGUGGGGGAUAACGAGGCGAAAGCUUUGCUAAUACCGCAUACGAUCUACGGAUGAAAGCAGGGGACCGCAAGGCCUUGCGCGGACGGAGCGGCCGAUGGCAGAUUAGGAAGCUGGUGGGAUAAAAGCUUACCAAGCCGACGAUCUGUAGCUGGUCUGAGAGGAUGAUCAGCCACACUGGGACUGAGACACGGCCCAGACUCCUACGGGAGGCAGCAGUGGGGAAUUUUGGACAAUGGGCGCAAGCCUGAUCCAGCCAUGCCGCGUGCAGGAUGAAGGCCUUCGGGUUGUAAACUGAUUUUGUACGGAACGAAAAGCCUUCUUUUAAUACAGGAGGGUCAUGACGGUACCGUAAGAAUAAGCACCGGCUAACUACGUG
This 482-nucleotide ribosomal RNA is filed under the name uncultured bacterium. Its description in RNAcentral is "partial 16S ribosomal RNA". It matches the Rfam family "Bacterial small subunit ribosomal RNA", at positions 30 to 507 of the family's 1533-position model. The record is from RNAcentral.